Molecule: ribosomal RNA, 428 nt
Filed under: Bacteroidota bacterium
Lineage: Bacteria; Pseudomonadati; Bacteroidota
Description: Bacteroidetes bacterium partial 16S ribosomal RNA
Rfam family: Bacterial small subunit ribosomal RNA
Source: RNAcentral
UAGGGAAUCUUCGGCAAUGGGGGGAACCCUGACCGAGCAACGCCGCGUGAGUGAAGAAGGUUUUCGGAUCGUAAAGCUCUGUUGUUAAGGAAGAACGAGUGUGAGAAUGGAAAGUUCAUACUGUGACGGUACUUAACCAGAAAGGGACGGCUAACUACGUGCCAGCAGCCGCGGUAAUACGUAGGUCCCGAGCGUUGUCCGGAUUUAUUGGGCGUAAAGCGAGCGCAGGCGGUUAGAUAAGUCUGAAGUUAAAGGCAGUGGCUCAACCAUUGUAGGCUUUGGAAACUGUUAACUUGAGUGCAGAAGGGGAGAGUGGAAUUCCAUGUGUAGCGGUGAAAUGCGUCGAUAUAUGGAGGAACACCGGUGGCGAAAGCGGCUCUCUGGUCUGUAACUGACGCUGAGGCUCGAAAGCGUGGGGAGCGAACAGG